RNAcentral lists this ribosomal RNA (464 nucleotides) under Granulicatella adiacens. RNAcentral describes it as "bacterial SSU rRNA". It matches the Rfam family "Bacterial small subunit ribosomal RNA", at positions 28 to 473 of the family's 1533-position model. The record is from RNAcentral. Lineage: Bacteria; Bacillati; Bacillota; Bacilli; Lactobacillales; Carnobacteriaceae.
GACGAACGCUGGCGGCGUGCCUAAUACAUGCAAGUCGAACGAGAGCGACCGGUGCUUGCACUGGUCAAUCUAGUGGCGAACGGGUGAGUAACACGUGGGUAACCUGCCCAUCAGAGGGGGAUAACAUCCGGAAACGGAUGCUAAAACCGCAUAGGUCUUCGAGCCGCAUGGCUUGAAGAGGAAAAGAGGCGCAAGCUUCUGCUGAUGGAUGGACCCGCGGUGCAUUAGCUAGUUGGUGAGGUAACGGCUCACCAAGGCCGUGAUGCAUAGCCGACCUGAGAGGGUGAUCGGCCACAUUGGGACUGAGACACGGCCCAAACUCCUACGGGAGGCAGCAGUAGGGAAUCUUCCGCAAUGGACGCAAGUCUGACAGAGCAACGCCGCGUGAGUGAAGAAGGUUUUCGGAUCGUAAAACUCUGUUGUUAGAGAAGAACAAGUGCUAGAGUAACUGUUAGCACCUUGAC